This 1688-nucleotide ribosomal RNA is filed under the name Salmonella enterica subsp. enterica serovar Typhimurium str. STm5. Its description in RNAcentral is "bacterial LSU rRNA". It matches the Rfam family "Bacterial large subunit ribosomal RNA", at positions 1271 to 2925 of the family's 2925-position model. Lineage: Bacteria; Pseudomonadati; Pseudomonadota; Gammaproteobacteria; Enterobacterales; Enterobacteriaceae. The record is from RNAcentral.
UGCUGGAGGUAUCAGAAGUGCGAAUGCUGACAUAAGUAACGAUAAAGCGGGUGAAAAGCCCGCUCGCCGGAAGACCAAGGGUUCCUGUCCAACGUUAAUCGGGGCAGGGUGAGUCGACCCCUAAGGCGAGGCCGAAAGGCGUAGUCGAUGGGAAACGGGUUAAUAUUCCCGUACUUGGUGUUACUGCGAAGGGGGGACGGAGAAGGCUAUGUUGGCCGGGCGACGGUUGUCCCGGUUUAAGCGUGUAGGUGUGUGUUCCAGGUAAAUCCGGUUCACUUUAACACUGAGGCGUGANGACGAGGCACUACGGUGCUGAAGCAACAAAUGCCCUGCUUCCAGGAAAAGCCUCUAAGCAUCAGGUAACANGAAAUCGUACCCCAAACCGACACAGGUGGUCAGGUAGAGAAUACCAAGGCGCUUGAGAGAACUCGGGUGAAGGAACUAGGCAAAAUGGUGCCGUAACUUCGGGAGAAGGCACGCUGACACGUAGGUGAAGUGAUUUACUCANGGAGCUGAAGUCAGUCGAAGAUACCAGCUGGCUGCAACUGUUUAUUAAAAACACAGCACUGUGCAAACACGAAAGUGGACGUAUACGGUGUGACGCCUGCCCGGUGCCGGAAGGUUAAUUGAUGGGGUCAGCGNAAGCGAAGCUCCUGAUCGAAGCCCCGGUAAACGGCGGCCGUAACUAUAACGGUCCUAAGGUAGCGAAAUUCCUUGUCGGGUAAGUUCCGACCUGCACGAAUGGCGUAAUGAUGGCCAGGCUGUCUCCACCCGAGACUCAGUGAAAUUGAACUCGCUGUGAAGAUGCAGUGUACCCGCGGCAAGACGGAAAGACCCCGUGAACCUUUACUAUAGCUUGACACUGAACAUUGAGCCUUGAUGUGUAGGAUAGGUGGGAGGCUUUGAAGUGUGGACGCCAGUCUGCAUGGAGCCGACCUUGAAAUACCACCCUUUAAUGUUUGAUGUUCUAACGUGGACCCGUAAUCCGGGUUGCGGACAGUGUCUGGUGGGUAGUUUGACUGGGGCGGUCUCCUCCUAAAGAGUAACGGAGGAGCACGAAGGUUGGCUAAUCCUGGUCGGACAUCAGGAGGUUAGUGCAAUGGCAUAAGCCAGCUUGACUGCGAGCGUGACGGCGCGAGCAGGUGCGAAAGCAGGUCAUAGUGAUCCGGUGGUUCUGAAUGGAAGGGCCAUCGCUCAACGGAUAAAAGGUACUCCGGGGAUAACAGGCUGAUACCGCCCAAGAGUUCAUAUCGACGGCGGUGUUUGGCACCUCGAUGUCGGCUCAUCACAUCCUGGGGCUGAAGUAGGUCCCAAGGGUAUGGCUGUUCGCCAUUUAAAGUGGUACGCGAGCUGGGUUUAGAACGUCGUGAGACAGUUCGGUCCCUAUCUGCCGUGGGCGCUGGAGAACUGAGGGGGGCUGCUCCUAGUACGAGAGGACCGGAGUGGACGCAUCACUGGUGUUCGGGUUGUCAUGCCAAUGGCACUGCCCGGUAGCUAAAUGCGGAAGAGAUAAGUGCUGAAAGCAUCUAAGCACGAAACUUGCCCCGAGAUGAGUUCUCCCUGAGACUUAGAGUCUCCUGAAGGAACGUUGAAGACGACGACGUUGAUAGGCCGGGUGUGUAAGCGCAGCGAUGCGUUGAGCUAACCGGUACUAAUGAACCGUGAGGCUUAACCUUACAACGCCGAAG